UUAGGAAGUGAACAGGAUUAGGUACCCCAGUAAUCUAGGCAGAAAAUGAUGAAUGUCAUAGGUUCAAUACUGACUGGUUAAUUUGAUUAAAGAAUAGUUUAUGGUGAUAAUACUAAUCAAUGGUGAUAAAUUAAACUAAUCAGUCUAUUGUGUCUAUAAAUGAAAGUGUAAGCAUUCCACCUCAAGAGUAAUUUGGCAACAUUGGAACUGAAAUCAUUAGACCGUUUCUGAAACCAGUAGUGAAGUAUGUUGUUUAAUUAGAUGAUACACAAAAACCUUACCACAAUUUGAAUAUAUAUAAAAUAUAUUUACAAGCGCUGCACGGCUGUCUACAGUUAAUGUCGUGAGACUUUGGUUAGCUCCAUUAAAUUGACGAAAACCCUAAUUUUAUUUAUAAAUAUAAUUAAC
Molecule: ribosomal RNA, 408 nt
Filed under: Sticta sp. 11 JAMD-2022
Lineage: Eukaryota; Fungi; Ascomycota; Lecanoromycetes; Peltigerales; Lobariaceae
Description: SSU rRNA
Rfam family: Bacterial small subunit ribosomal RNA
Source: RNAcentral